UUAACACAAUGUUAUAUUUCAAUUAUAGCUCAAAUAAUAAAACAUAAAAACUAAAAUAAAAUAAAAUGCAGAGUGGACUCUCCCUUCGCCAGCCUCCACGGACUGGCCUCCCCAAUCCUCUCUCUGACUCUUUCAGACUAGAUUCUAGAACUGGUAGCUACCUAGAAUUCUCUAGAUAGUAGACUGUUGAGUUCUCAUGAGUCUGUCAGCCAAGAUGGAGUGACCACUGUGACCCAUGUUCCUUUCAUAAACAUCACAGCCACCAUCGGACGGCAUGAGGGGGAUUAUGUAAGGUGAAAACACCAACCCUCGGGAAGCUGAACUCAAUUUGUUUUAGACUUCCUCAUGAUCUUCCUCAGACCUCAGCACAGUGCUCGGGCAUUUAUUGUUUGUCUUCUGUGGGUCAGGCUCUGAGACAGAGUCUGGAUAUCGCCAAGUGAGGAUGACAUGGUCCCUUCCUGGCACCAGUCCACUGCUGGUGGGAAACAGAGACAGAAAAACACCUAUGAGAUUACACACCUGUGCUAUGAUAAAGACUCACAUAAAAUGCUCUUGAAGCUCAAGAGAAGAGGAUCAGCGCUCUGCCUGAGGAGGAAGGGGCAGGCUGAGCUAAGUGACAGAGAAGUGUCAAGCAGAGGGAAGGGUACCUGCUAAGAGGAGAAGACAUGAAAGGCCUGGGGGCAUGAAGAGCUGGGAUGGCAGGGACGUCAGGCUAAGGGCUGACAGUGUGUGUGGGGCAGAGGCGGAAAGGGCACAGAUACCAGGUACAAGAGCCUGGACAUGAUCUCAGAGGUCACAGGAAACCCAAAGAGGGCUCCAGGCAGGGCAGUAACAGGAUGGCGUUUGCACAAUUCCCUGGAGGUGGGAGGAGAGUACGUUUAGUUCACAUUCCGCCUUUGCUGAGGACCUUCUAAGGCCAUCCCAUAAACUUUAGAAAAGAUUCACACCCACUUUCACACUGCCUGGCUCUCCUACCUCACCUCCCACCAUUCUCCCCAAAGCUUGCCUAUUCCAGCCACACCGACUGCCUUCUCACUCCACAUGCAUGCCUUGUUCAGCCCCAGCCCAAGACAUUUGCAUGUGCUGCCCCACACCCUGGCAUGGCUCACUCCUAUCUUCAUUGAGGCCUAUGCACAAUAAAACAACAAGGAAGUUUCCCUGACAGCAGAUCCAAAACAGCAACCCUUAACAACUCAUUACUCAUCUCAGCUAUCAUUCCUGAAAUUAUAUUACCUGUUUAAGUAUUUACUAUCUACCACUCCCACUGGAAUAUAAUGUAUUGGUUUAUUUAUCAUAUUAAUGGCUAUAUUCCCAGGUAUAAAACACUGGUGAAUAAUAUAUCCACAAUAAAUAUCUAUUAAAUGAAUGAAGGAAGAUGAGACUAGAGUUAGGAAAUUACUGCAAAAGUCAAAAAUACCAAUGCUGGUUCCGUCUGAACUAAGAAAAUGUCAGUGUGACAAAAUACUUAGGUGGAAGAGUUGCUGUGGCGAGUUAAUAAAGGAAUUCAAGAUGACUUACACACUUCCCCCUUGCUUGACAGGAAGGAUGGCAGGGUCCCAUUCACCAAGUUGAGGCGCACACUGAAGGACUGAGAGGGUGGAACAGAAGUCCAGUUUGCGGUACGGAGAGUUGGAAGCUCCUGUGUGGCAUCCAUUUGGAGAGGUCUUGGAAAAGGAAGUCCAGAGCUGCUCAGGGGAGAGGUGAUGGGAUGGAGCUACAGAUGGCGAUGGAGGGGAGCCCACCGAAGUCGUAAGAACACUAACCCUAGAGGCACUGCCAGCGGUGAGCCAGAGAGCAGAGUGGGCUCUCUGCACAUCUGACUGCACAGCACCUUGACUAACAGGCCAUGCAAAGUGCAACUUCAGGACCCCUGAUGGGGUGACCAUCAGAUCUGGUUCAUGUCCGUUCUGGGGUCAGCUCUGGCGUAUAAAAGAACCACCGGGAAGUCUUCCGAGAAAUGCAGAUUCCCUAGUAGAUUCUGAUUUUUGAAUAUGUAAAAAGCAUCCUGGACGAUGCCGAGCAGACUUUGAGAACCACUGGUGUGAGCCAGCAAUGGAGAAGCAAGUGCCGAGAAGAUGGAAGAACAUCCUUUAUUCUAGGUCUGAUCUACUCAAUAACCUCAACCUACUUUCUGUAAUACUUAAAUUCAGGUAGGUAGAAAGGAUGGACUAAAAUUAAGAUGUCCAGGAAUAAACGCUCUAAAACUAGGCAUAAAUAGUGCAUCUGAUCUUGUUUUCUCUGGCUCAACUUUGUGCUGUAGAAGACAGGGACAGUCUGUCCCAGGGGUCAGCAAACUCUUGACCACUGUGUUUUUGUACAGACAGCAGCUGAAUGGUUCUGAAAAUUUUAAAAUGGUUGGGAGAAAAAAAGUGAAGGAAGAAAAUUUCAUGCUAUGUAAUGUUACAUGAAAUUCAAAUUUCAGUCUCCAUAAACAAAGCCUUAUGGGCACCCAGCCACAUACUGUCUAAGGCUGCUUUCACCAUACAAUCGCAGAGUUCAGUGGUCCCCACAGAGACACAUGGCCCGCAAACCUGAAAAUAUUUGCUAGCUGGCCCUGCACAGAAAAGCGUGCUGACUCCCCAUCUGUAGGACAAAAUCCGAAAGCCUCUGGAGGGCGCACAGGGCCCUCCUGGGCCCGGACCCUCCACCUUUACAACCUCACUGCCUGGGUGCAGUGCUUCAGUUCACACUCUUCUCAACUCUUCCUGUGAACACAGGGAUCGAUGCUUGGAGCUGGUAGGCUGCUCUCCAGCCAGUCAGACCACCACAGUUCCCACUAGUUUGGGGAUAUUCUUCUAAGAGGCGGCUCGGUUACUCCAAAACCAUUUAUGCCAGCAAUACCUGUUUUAAUCAUGUUAUUUAGAUAAAAUUUUACAGAAGAUAAUGGAUGGAAAGAGAAAGAAUAUGAUUAUUUUCAUGAAACCUAAGUUAAAUGUUUAAGGAAAACAAAGUGAGUGGCUAAAAAUAAUCAAUCAAAAAAUAAAAGCAAAAACAUCAAUCACCUAAAGUUGCUUAGGUGACAGAGAGGCAACGGAAAAAGACUGAGAAGGAAAAAUAUAAUUUAUCAGUACCCAGAUGGUUAGCGAUCAGAUUUUACCGAAAUUCUUUUUAAGUUCUUACUGGAUUUUAGAGAAUCUGAAACUGAAAACCAUUGAUAAUGAGUUCUGGGUGUGUCCCUCUAUCUAAAGAUUGCAAAAUACAUGAAAAAGCAUAUUUUUAAAACAUUUAACCUUUUUAACUAACUCAUUCAGUGAAGUGAGCAACCAUGAAUCUCAGUCCUGUCCAGUAGACGGUUUUCACCAUCAUAUGCUGACCCCCACACUCCCUGUUGUUUCACAGACAGCCGUUUCCAGCAGGGUGGAUUUUAUCCCCCUUGUGAAGAUGAUGAAGCUUGACCAGGUCUCAGAGCUCAUACGAGGUAUGUUCAACCCCAGGCAGCCCGUCUCUGUGACAGCAUCCGGAUCCCUCUGUCAUUCCAACUCCAGAGAAGCCAGAAGUAAAAAAUAUUUACAAUUACAAAAAUUGUAAAUAUUUUUGCUAUUUAACACUUCACCAUGGGCUACGCAAGAAAAAAAUUCAUUUAAACUUGGAAGCUUAAAAAUAAAAAUUCAUAUUAUUGAGAAUUAACACUCUCAGGAAAGCGACUGAUCCAAAGUUCCAUUCCGUGUCCUAAACAUCAGUGAAAUUGUGACAUCUGAAUACUCAAACAAGCGAACGGCUCAAACAAGUGAUUUGGACAAACAGGGCCUGAGGCAUCCACUCAAAUGAUGCUUCUGAAGUUUUCAUCCCAAAGCCUGCACUUUAGGAGUCUCCAUAUGUCUGAACUAAAGCCCAAGGCAAGCCGGUGGGCUGGGACCCCAACAGGGAUCUCAGGACCGCCACUGCAUGCAGUUAGAGGAAGACAUCACACAACUUGAUCUGGCGGCUGGUUCAGUCAUCUCUCCCCUUCUCUGUGUCUGAACACUCAUCUGUGGAACACAGCAGCAAACAACACCGCAAACAACAGUAUUUUUUACUCGAAAUAAAAGUCAAAUCACACACAAUUGUAAAGCAACGUCAGAACACAAAGCUAUACAUGUUGUGAACUUUGAACGUGCAUUCUAGCUUGUCACAAAAGUAUUUGGGGCAAUACAAACAAGUACCACCAUUUAAAUACCCCAUUUACAAAAAAAAACCCCAUAUCUGUAGUGACAUUCCUGAGAAACUAUCCUAGAGAACAGGGAGCCAGGUACUCAGGCUGACUGGCCUUCUGACGCUGGCUUCUGCUUUUAGUUGAGGAAUUAGCCUCCACAGGCAGCUCUUGCCUCCCAAGGCACUGGGUGGCUACAUUCAUGGCAUAUUUAUAGUGGCCUGAAUUAUCUGAUAUUUAAAGUCAAGAUCUAAAAAUGAAUUAUAAGUUUUGCCAAAGAGAUAAACUAAUUUUUACCUACUUGAAAAUAGUUAACUUGACUAAAUAUUUUAAUAAUCAAAUACAAUUCCAAAAAUACUUAAACACUUCAUUAGUUUUAGAAUUCAAACACCUCAUAAAACUUAUUUUAGGUGUUUAUAUUUAAAAGUGUCACUGACCCACCCUGGUUCACGGACUCAGUACUCUCUUCUCCGGUGAUGCCAACUCCAGCUAUAGCAAUUCGACCUCCGUCAUCCAAGUGCAAUCUUCCUCAGUCGUUGGUUCUUGACCCUCUUCUCUUCCGAUCCCUCACCUGUACUCUUCCCCUUGAUUCAUGAUAUCUCAGCUUCUAAUACUGCCUCCUUCACAAUUUCUCCCAGUCUGUGCCUCAGGCCAGGGCAUCUCCUUUUCCCCUGUUUAGGGCCCCCAUCACCAGUUGUGCACCUUCUCGGGCUGCUGCACACCUGCCCACACACACACACCAGGACCUCAGACUCACACCUUAUUUCAACAUCUUCCUUCCCAAACACACUUCUCUUACCAUAGUAUCAUCACCAUCCUAUCUCCCAGGCAAAGAGUAACACUCUUUUUCAACUGUUCCUUGUUGUCCCCACAUCCUGCAGUUGGCCAUGGCCCUUCGACUACACUUUUGAAAGAACUUUCAGUAUGUUCCUCUUUGUCCAUGGUCACGGCUGCCACUCUAACAUCAGGUUUUCAAGGGACUUCUGAGAUACUUUUAUUAGAAAGAAUUACUCUCUAACACAAAUAAUUUGACUUGAUUUUCAGGUCUGCAUUUUUAUAUAGGCUGGUUUUGCCCGAAAUAGGAAACACCAAUAUUCACAUUAAAGUAAAAAUAAUCUGGCUGCGUAAUUAAACUCUUUACUGCCUGAACCUCCAGCUUCUUGAGUGACAGAGCAGUGAGAAGUGAUGCAGGCAAGAAUGAAGAGAAGGGAAAAGGAUCCAGGACAGGUGGAGAGAGGAAGCACGUGGGACAACAAAAUGUUUAUUCCACUCCAGAUGCAUGAGAGCACCAGGGAGACACCACAGUGGAACAAUGCGAGAAGGUCCAGGUUUGCCCAAGAUCCGGGACUGCCCUAGCUGUAGGACAAGGCUUGUGGGACAUUGGGAAGAUGCCAGAACAAAGCUAAACUUGUAUCCAGAUCUUGAACACAAAUUCCCUUGAACCUACUAUUUGUUUCUCUCUCUACCGGUAACACCAGGUGAAACUGAAGAAAGUUCUCAGGGUCCAGGUUCAGAAUUCCCUUUUCACAAUGAGAAUUUUUUUUAGUUUGUUUGGGAAUCCCCGUGUCCACAGGGCCACAUCCAACAGGCCAGGCUGCUCCAGAGUUCUGGUCCCAGUGGCACCAUGCCCACUAGCCAUCCCACUUUCCAGAGCAGAGCUGUGGGGAGGGUGGGCAGGGCAGCGAGGCUCCACCAGGGAAAUGAGAUGUGCCUUUAUGCAAGGAAAGGCCUAGAAAAAAACAGAAAGUGUCCCCCAAAUCCAGGAGUAGCUUACCAAAAAAGGCCUGGGAGAUGCCACGGCGGGGAAGAGAUGUCCUCAGCUAUCAGUUACCCAUUAGAGUUACUCGGGAAACUUAUAAAAGAUCUGGGGGCCCAGGCUGCCAGGACCAAGGCCCUGGGAGAAGGAGGUCCCUCACCAGCCACGUGCUCCUCCACCAGCUGGGAGCUCUGUGACUCCCUCAGGCAUCACCACCUGGCCAGGACAAAGGUAAAAACAAUCAUCCAGGAGGUCAGAAAUUCCUUCUAGCUGUUACCUCAUAGCGAGAAAUAAAAAGCAACCAUCUCCACUUGUUCUGAGGAGAGUGUUUUUGAAGCCUAACUACAUUUUGUAGCUCCAGGUCUCCCCACUUCUAUUUUCUUUUUCCUCUAAUCUGCCCAGCUAGGGCUUUGUGGGUUUCUGUUUCAAUAAAGAAGGCUUUAUCAUCUUAUUGACUCUUCAACAGCAGUCAGCCCUGUUCUUUUUCCUAGGAAACACCCCUUGGUUUCCACAAAUAAAAGCUACUGCGAUAAACACUGGGAGGAGUGUUGUUUGAAGAAACAAAUAUCCAGCAACAUCACAAAGCUCAUAAAUGAAGAUGUGCGCUUCCUUUUGGUUACAAUAAAAUAGGAAUUCUAAGGAAUCUGUUUUAAUUAACAUACACAGAUGUGGGCUGGACAGCCAGCACCCAUGAACAAUACAUUUCGAACCUGUGAUAAGAUGUUCCUUUUCUCAUUCAAAGUCAUUGUUACAUGGAGGCUGGAGUCUCCAUUGGCAGAAAAAAGCAGAAUUGCUCAUUUGUCCUGCUGCAGUUGCCUGGGAGUCCGGGACCCUGGGGUCCUUCUGGGAAAGGGGCACAGGUGGGAGGCACCCACAUGUAGUGACUCACGCAGGUGGCCACAGGUGGGAGGCCUGCCUUUGUCCCUCCAGUUCUAUUUCCCAGUGCCUUUUGUGAAGCUGGAGGGAAGGGGUGGGCUGGACUCUGGUGUUGACCAGCCCCUGAGGUGACUGGGCCACAGGGGAGGGGUUCCCAAGCCCUGGAAAGAGCCUGGCUUUCAGCAUACAAGCGAGAGGGGGUCCUGGGAGGCUUAUAAUAAAGAGUAACCCUGGCUGGAUAAGAGUUGUAAAGUGGAACAGAUGACACUGUAGACCAUGAGUGGCUAAUGCAACACCAAAGUCACGGACACCCAUCUAGGAGUGCUGACCAUGCUGAGAUGGUGAGGGCCUGACAGAGAUGAUACCACAAGCCUCCUGUCUAGCUCCAGUGAGGCCCCAUUAUCAACCUCUUCAAGGGCUGCAGCCAGGAGGCUGGACCAUGGGCCAAACUAAGGCAGGAAACCCUACUGCCCAGGGCAAGGCCUUCUCUGCUGCCAUGACAGCCAAAGAUGUCCUGGGAUCCAAGCAAAUGUCAGGUUGAGUCAAAAACUGCUACAUCUGUGCUUGCAAAGCUCUCGACAAGUCCUGUGGCCCAAGAACUGCCCAUGCCUCUCCCCUACAGCUUGCAAGCUGUGGCUACACCUGAAGACAGUAGCAGCUAGGCCUCCACACCAUAGUGGCCAGGUUCACUGUUGGCAGACAGGCAGCGUAUAGACCCAGGCGGCCCACCCCAGCCAUCCUUAGCCCUGAUUUCCCUGGAGAAUGUCACUAGUGAAACCCUCACACGGGGAGAUGAUUAAACCUACUGCCCCCUAAGGAUGCUGAUGAGGGAAGCGAGCCAGUAACUGGGCUUAUAAGGAUGCACCUCUGGCCUGAAAUUACAUGGAGGCUUCUUCUAUCUUAAAACUUCACGGAAAUAAAUGGGCAAACUGUACACUAUAAGAAUUAUAUCUCCAAAAAAGCUAUUAUUUUUUUAAAUAUGGAAAUAGAAUGUUUAUUUCAAUGUAAGUUGCUCUACCUACUAAAACUCUUAAGUCCCAAGGUAAACUUCUAAAAUCUCUUGAACCUUCAUUGAUGGAUACAACCUUCCUUGUUUCAGUGGAAAAUAAAAUUUUCUUUACAAGAGACACUUUCCUUCCUUUCCUCAUUUACCUUUUCUUGAGAAAGUAUUGAUUUAUAUGGCCAAAGAGGUGGUGGGUUAUACACGGGAGAUUAAACUGAUAAGUAAAUAUAUUGAGGAUACUGGGUGCCAGGUUCUCGGUGUCAGAGAAUGGAGUCACCGAUAUGGAGAAUGGGAAGGCUGGGAUGGGGCAGGGAUGCUGGACUGGGAGGC
Molecule: non-coding RNA, 8094 nt
Organism: Equus caballus (horse)
Lineage: Eukaryota; Metazoa; Chordata; Mammalia; Perissodactyla; Equidae
Source: RefSeq, a predicted model, not a curated record